Callithrix jacchus (white-tufted-ear marmoset) is the source of this 305-nucleotide unclassified non-coding RNA. It matches the Rfam family "Metazoan signal recognition particle RNA". Rfam says of the family: The signal recognition particle (SRP) is a universally conserved ribonucleoprotein. The record is from Ensembl. NCBI's taxonomy places the organism in Eukaryota, Metazoa, Chordata, Mammalia, Primates, Cebidae.
GCUGGGCACAGUGGCACGUGCCUGCAGUCCCAGCUACUCAGGAGGCUGAGGCUGGAAGAUCUCUUGAGCCCAGGAGUUCUGGGCUGUAGUGCACCUGAUCUGGCCGAUCAGGUGUCUGCACUAAGUUUGGCAUCAAUAUGGUGACCUCCCGGGAGCGGAGUACCACCAGAUUGCCUAAGGAGGGGUGAACCAGCCCAGGUUCGAAACGGAGCAGGGCAAAACUCCCGUGCUAAUCAGUAGUGGGAUCGCGCCUGUGAAUGGCCACUGCACUCCAGCCUGGGCAACAUAGCGAGACCCCCUCUCUU